This 150-nucleotide non-coding RNA is filed under the name Hydrocarboniphaga effusa. RNAcentral's name for it is "FMN sequence". It matches the Rfam family "FMN riboswitch aptamer (RFN element)". Rfam says of the family: The RFN element is a highly conserved domain that is found frequently in the 5'-untranslated regions of prokaryotic mRNAs that encode for flavin mononucleotide (FMN) biosynthesis and transport proteins. Lineage: Bacteria; Pseudomonadati; Pseudomonadota; Gammaproteobacteria; Nevskiales; Nevskiaceae. The record is from RNAcentral. RNAcentral also lists the same sequence under 1 other name.
GCGGAAUCUCGGGGCGGGGUGGAAUUCCCCACCGGCGGUGAUGGCGCGAAAGCGCACGAGCCCGCGGGCGCUCGCUGCCACAGCAGCGAGGACAGCAGAUUCGGUGCGAUUCCGAAGCCGACGGUAGAGUCCGGUUACGAGAGCAGCUGU